RNAcentral lists this ribosomal RNA (401 nucleotides) under uncultured bacterium. Its description in RNAcentral is "bacterial SSU rRNA". It matches the Rfam family "Bacterial small subunit ribosomal RNA", at positions 355 to 773 of the family's 1533-position model. The record is from RNAcentral.
UGGGGAAUAUUGCACAAUGGGGGAAACCCUGAUGCAGCGACGCCGCGUGGAGGAAGAAGGUCUUCGGAUUGUAAACUCCUGUUGUUGGGGAAAAUAAGGAUGGUACCCAACAAGGAAGUGACGGCUAACUACGUGCCAGCAGCCGCGGUAAAACGUAGGUCACAAGCGUUGUCCGGAAUUACUGGGUGUAAAGGGAGCGCAGGCGGGUAUGCAAGUUGGAAGUGAAAUACAUGGGCUCAACCCAUGAACUGCUUUCAAAACUGUGUAUCUUGAGUAGUGCAGAGGUAGGCGGAAUUCCCGGUGUAGCGGUGGAAUGCGUAGAUAUCGGGAGGAACACCAGUGGCGAAGGCGGCCUACUGGGCACCAACUGACGCUGAGGCUCGAAAGUGUGGGUAGCAAAC